GAUUUCUGGUACAAUGCACCUGGCCCGCGGCCUAUUAGGCUUGUGAGUGCCGGCGCGCGUUUACCAUCCUUCUAGAAAACAGGCCUGCCCUUUACUGGGUUGGGUUUGCGAUCUAGAUCUUUUACUUUGAAAAAAUUAGAGUGUUUAAAGCAGGCUUUUGCUAUGAAUACAUUAGCAUGGAAUAAUAAUUUAGGACUUUGCUCCUAUUUUAUUGGUUUCUAGGGGUAAAGUAAUGAUUGAUAGGGAUAGUUGGGGGUGCUAGUAUUCAUCGGCCAGAGGUGAAAUUCUUGGAUUCGAUGAAGACUAACUUAUGCGAAAGCAUU
This 323-nucleotide ribosomal RNA is filed under the name uncultured Rhogostoma. RNAcentral describes it as "SSU rRNA". The stretch from base 56 to 323 matches the Rfam family "Eukaryotic small subunit ribosomal RNA", at positions 686 to 955 of the family's 1831-position model. Lineage: Eukaryota; Cercozoa; Thecofilosea; Cryomonadida. The record is from RNAcentral.